Molecule: ribosomal RNA, 468 nt
Filed under: uncultured bacterium
Lineage: Bacteria
Description: bacterial SSU rRNA
Rfam family: Bacterial small subunit ribosomal RNA
Source: RNAcentral
GAUGAACGGCUGGCGGCGCGCCUAACACAUGCAAGGUCGAACGGGAACACCCGUAGCAAUAUGGGUGUUUUAGUGGCGGACGGGUGAGUAACGCGUGAGGAACCUGCCUUUCGGAGGGGAAUAACACAUCGAAAGAUGUGCUAAUACCGCAUAAUGUCAUCGGGCGGCAUCGCCUGAUGACCAAAAGAGCAAUCUGCCGAAAGAUGGCCUCGCGUCCGAUUAGAUAGUUGGUGAGGUAACGGCCCACCAAGUCUGCGAUCGGUAGCCGGACUGAGAGGUUGAACGGCCACAUUGGGACUGAGACACGGCCCAGACUCCUACGGGAGGCAGCAGUGGGGGAUAUUAGUCAAUGGAGGAAACUCUGAACUAGCGACGCCGCGUGAGGGAAGAAGGUCUUCGGAUUGUAAACCUCUGUCUUCGGGGACGAUAAUGACGGUACCCGAGGAGGAAGCUCCGGCUAACUACGUG